CGCAAGCCUGACGGAGCAAGACCGCGUGGGGGAGGAAUGCCUUAGGGUUGUAAACCCCUUUUAUCUGGGAAGAACAAAAUGACGGUACCAGAUGAAUAAGCCUCGGCUAACUCCGUGCCAGCAGCCGCGGUAAUACGGAGGAUGCAAGCGUUAUCCGGAUUUAUUGGGCGUAAAGCGUCCGCAGGCGGCUAGAUAAGUCUGCUUUUAAAGAAUGGGGCUCAACCCCGUAUAGGGAGUGGAAACUGUUUAGCUAGAGUAUGGUAGGGGCAGAGGGAAUUCCCAGUGUAGCGGUGAAAUGCGUAGAUAUUGGGAAGAACACCAGUGGCGAAGGCGCUCUGCUGGACCAAAACUGACGCUGAUGGACGAAAGCUAGGGGAGCG
This 380-nucleotide ribosomal RNA is filed under the name uncultured cyanobacterium. Its description in RNAcentral is "bacterial SSU rRNA". It matches the Rfam family "Bacterial small subunit ribosomal RNA", at positions 376 to 770 of the family's 1533-position model. The record is from RNAcentral. Lineage: Bacteria; Bacillati; Cyanobacteriota.